GGGCCUGUAGCUCAAUUGGUUAGAGCCGACCGCUCAUAACGGUCUGGUUUCCGGUUCGAGUCCGGACGGGCCCACCA
This 77-nucleotide transfer RNA is filed under the name Pelagibacterium nitratireducens. Its description in RNAcentral is "tRNA-Ile". It matches the Rfam family "tRNA". Rfam says of the family: Transfer RNA (tRNA) molecules are approximately 80 nucleotides in length. RNAcentral also lists the same sequence under 3 other names. Lineage: Bacteria; Pseudomonadati; Pseudomonadota; Alphaproteobacteria; Hyphomicrobiales; Devosiaceae. The record is from RNAcentral.